CUUCUCUCUAGGUGAAAGGCCAGGUGCUGAGGGGCUCCAUGUGAAGCUUUCAGAUGCCCCAAAACUUCCUUCUCAGUAUGGCUCUAUGCUGGUGGGGGAGGAGUGAACUCUCACAAGGUUUAGCCACUCUGCAAUUUGGGAUUUCUCUGCAGUAUGACUUCUCAGAGGUCUGUAAUUUGGUUUUCCCACACGCUCACACCUGUGUGAUGUGUCCCUUGUGUGAAUCUUCUCAUGCUGAGUUCUGAGCAGUCCCUGAGAGGUUGCCUUCUUCCCUCCCAUGGGUGUUCUGUAACUCUGAGUAACUGAGUUGUUGUUUUUUUUUUUUUUUUAAGAGAGAGAGAGAGGGAGAGAAUUUUCUAAUAUUUAUUUUUUAGUUUUCGGCGGACACAACAUCUUUGUUUGUAUGUGGUGCUGAGGAUCGAACCCGGGCCGCAUGCAUACCAGACGAGUGCGCUACCGCUUGAGCCACAUCCCCAGCCCAAACUGAGUGCUUUUGGCUGGGCCUCUGCACGCUUUGCAGGGCAAGUGUUCCUCUGCAGUGUGAGUUGUCUGUUAUCAAGUAAGGCCUAAGCAGCUAGUGCUAGCCUACCCACCUGUUGCACUUUUGGGCUCUCUGCAUGUGUGUCCACUGGCCUUGAAUACAGUGUGCCCUACAAGUGACAGGCUUCUCUGGGUCAUUUAUUCAUAGGGCCCCUCCAAUGUGAAGGGUGUGAUAGGGAUGGGUGGAGUUCUGGCCAGUGCACCUCCCAAAUUUCUCGAAUGGUGGGGACUCUCCCCAGUAUGAAUUUCAUGAUGGGGAAUAAGAUGUGAAUUUUGAAAUUGCCUUUACACUGUUCACAUUUGUGAGGUGGCUCUCUUGUUUGAAUUCUCCAAGAGCCACUAAGGUGUGACUUGAUGGACGGUUUUUCCACUUCCUCUGUGUUCACGGGGUUUCCCUACAGUGUGAGUGAGCUGUGAUUUCUGACUAUAAGCUCCCCGUGUGCAGGGUGCCCACAGGCCUCUCCAGGAGUGACCUGGUGGUGGACAGAGUGGGAGCUUGCAGGAAGGUUAUCAGUCAUUGUGAGGAUGGCCCUAGGCCUGAGCCUAAGCAACUCCAUUUUAAAAACUCCAGUUUGAAACUUGCAGGCUCACCAGGCACACCCACAGAGCCCUCCAAUGUGGCCUCAGACAAGUCACUUCCCCUGACCCUGAUCAACAGAGUGAAGCCCCUGGCAGUCUGUCCUCGCCUGAUAAGAGGGAAGGGCGAGAAGAUGGGGUGGGGGAGACACCAGACCAGAUGUUUCUGACCCCAGGGUAAAUGAUGUCACUGAGAAAUCCAGUGGUAGCUGAUAAGGAUUGAAAGGGGGGUCAAAAGCCCCCAAAUUUAAUAUAAAUAAUAGAGCUGAUGAACGGGAUUCACUAUAGCUGGAGAGCCUGAUGAGGACCUGACACCCCACUUGUCAUCGUUCCUGAUCCUCUGCGUGAUCUUCACCGCUCUCAAACUCUACCGCCUCGUCUGGACCUUGGUGAGAGCCGCAACUUCUCUCUAGAUGAAAGGCCAGGUGCUGAGGGGCUCCAUGUGAAGCUUUCAGAUGCCCCAAAACUUCCUUCUCAGUAUGGGCCUAUGCUGGUGGGUGAGGAGUGAACUCACACCAUGAGUGAACUCACCCUCUUCUCAAUUGGUUGUCCCCUCCACACCAGGAAAAGCCUGCCUGGGUUCCAGACCUGGUCACCGCAGUCUGAGUGGGUGGGCAUCUGCUGGACAUAAAGCCUAAGACUUAGGACUUUUGAACUUAUCCUGCAGAGGGGAUGUCUGUCGUUAGCCUGUCAUGAUCAGGUGUGUUUGCAGUGCUUAGACUUAAUCUAGAAUUAUUUGCUGUGGAUUGAUUAUGUCUAUUGCAGUGCCCAGCAUUAAGGAUUGUCGUUUUCUUGAUUAAGAACCUACAGAGUGAAAUGGUAUGGAGUGAUUUGAGUGAAUAAAGCAUUGAAAGGGGCAGAAGUGCAUGGACAUUCUUUAUGUCUCCCCUCGACUGCAUACUUUGCAAUUUUGCCCCCUUGUGGUUUUCUUCCACUGAGGAUUCUUUUAUGUUCCCUGAUAUUUGAACUGAGACUAAAAUAUCUUUGCCUGAUCCCUGGCACUCUUGGGUUCUUUUCCUCUAUGAAUUUGCUGGUGUAGAGUAAUACCUGGAUUAUCUUUGAAGCUCUUCCACAUCUGCCACAACUAUGGGUCACUGUCAUUCUGUAGAACUUUUAUGACUUAAAAAAUCUUUUCGUUAUACAUGGACAUAAUAUCUCCAUUUUAUUUAUUUUUUAUUUUUAAAAAAAAUAUGUUUUUUUCUCCUCGGUGGUGGCCCUCAGUCCCAUGAGACUUACAUAUGUCAAGACGGCGCCCCCUGCCUUCGGUGCUGCAGUUUCUCUGUUCCGUAAUCAAUGUCAUUCACAGGAGCUUCUUAAGUGACAAACGAAAUGAGCCCAGGGCAUGGAAAAUAUGAUUUCUAUAUUGGUUUGGGAUUGGCUAUGACCUCCAGCAUUUUCAUAAGAGGGAGUUUCAUUUUGAAAAAAAAAAAAAGGCCUUCUGCGACUUGCCAGAAAAGGAUCCAUGAGAGCAGGUCAAGGUGGCCAUGCAUAUCUUAAAGAACGGUUGUGGUGGGCUGGACUACUGUCAAUGGGGGCAGGCGAGGUGGCCAACUUCGCUGCAUAUGCCUUUGCACCAGCCACGCUAGUGACUCCACGGGAGCUCUCAGCGUCCUCGAAAGUGCCAUUCUUUCUUCAUACUUUCUAAAUGAAAGACUUGAUCUUCAUGGGAAAAUUGGAUGUUUGCUAAGCAUUCUAGGAUCUACAGUUAUGGUCAUCCAUGCUCCAAAGGAAGAGGAGAUUGAGACGUUACAUGAAAUGUCACACAAGUUAGGUGAUCCAGGUUUUGUGGUAUUUGCAACAAUUGUGGUCAUUGUGUCUUUGAUAUUAAUCUUUGUGGUGGGACCUCGCCAUGGACAGACAAAUAUUCUUGUGUACAUAACAAUCUGCUCUGUGAUUGGAGCAUUUUCAGUGUCCUGUGCAAAGGGCUUGGGCAUCACCAUCAAAGAACUGUUAGCUGGAAAGCCUGUGGUGCGGCAUCCCCUGGCCUGGGUUCUGCCUCUGAGCCUCCUCAUCUGUGUGAGCACACAGAUCAAUUACCUAAACCGGGCCCUGGACAUAUUCAACACUUCCCUUGUAACACCAAUAUAUUACAUUUUCUUUACAAGUUAUUCUUUUUAAGGAGUGGCAAGAUAUGCCUGCUGAUGAUAUCAUUGGGACUCUGAGUGGCUUCUUCACAAUCAUUGUGGGGAUAUUCUUGUUGCAUGCCUUUAAAGAUGUCAGCUUUAGUCUAGCAAGUCUGCCUGUGUCUUUUCGAAAAGAUAAUAAAGCAAUGAAUGGCAAUCUCCCUACUAUGUAUGAAGUUCUUAAUAAUAAUGAAGAAAGCUUAACCUGUGGAAUUGAACAACACACUGGUGAGAAUAUCUCAAGGAGAAAUGGAAAUCUGACAGGUUUUUAAGGUGCGAUUUAAAGGUUAAAUUAUGUUAUAGUGAUUUUGAAUAUCAGAAUCUGUCUGAAAAAGCAUUGUCCUCAAAUAAUGUUCUCUAAAGACAAUCUUUUUUAAGUUUUCUUUUUUUUUUUUUAAUUUUAAUAUUUAUUUUUUUAGUUAUCGGCGGAUACAACAUCUUUGUUUUGUAUGUGGUGCUGAGGAUCGAACCCCGGCCACACGCAUGCCAGGCGAGCGCGCUACCGCUUGAGCCACAUCCCUAGCCCCUUAAGUUUUCACUAAUUUGGACCAAGAAGUUACUUUUCUUAUAUUUAAACAAUGGUAGCUCACUAAAAAUGGCCUCAGUAUGUGGCCAAUUUCUAUUAACAUUGUAUAAUUGUAGAGGUAUUUUACAUUUUGAUUCUUUCUUCAAAAUCUAAAUGCACUAAUGACAAGUUUUAAGUCUAUAAAAAUGCUUUAUUUUUUCAGUAUUGAUGAAAGUCUGAAAUGUACAUUUGUCAUUCCCACUCCUAUCAAUCCCUGAUCAUGUAAGGCUUUUUGAUUGUAAACAAGAACAAAACUAUCCCAAUAUAUUAUCCUCUGAUUUAUCUUACCUAUAAAAAAAUAAAUAAAAAAUAUAUUUUUAGUUGUUAAUGGACCUCUAUUUAUAUGUGGUGCUGAGAAUUGAACCCAGUGUCUCACACAUGCUAGGCAAGCACUCUGCCACUGAGCCACAACCCAGCCCUCCAUUUAGUUUAUUUAUUUUUAUGUGGUGCUGAAAAUUAAACACCAGAGCCUCACAUGUGUGAGGCAAGUGCUCUGCCACUGAGCCCCAGCCCCAGCCCCAAACUUUUGUGACGUUUUAGGGGAUAAGUUUUGACUGAAGUUUCUUCCAAAUUCAUUAAAUUGCAGGUCAUUCUUCCAGGGAGCAUUUCCUCAUGGGAUAUGGCCACUGUUCUGAAGCCUUUCUCCCAGGCAGGGCCUUCUUGAUGCUUUCCUGGAAGGUGCUCCAGCACCUCCUUGCUUCUGCCCUCCUCUGGCCUCAGCAAGAAAUCCCAAAGGAGUGCUUCUGAUGCUCCACCUGUGGCUGUCAGAAGACUCCGCUUCUUGAAAAGGUCCUUCCUUCUUGAUCCCAGUUGAUCUUCAUUGAGGAAUCUGAAAGGGAAACAUCAGGAACGAAAGAUCCCAUUCACCGUGGGGCCCUGGAUUUACAAUGAUGUCAAGGAGCCACAAGUGAGCACCAGGGGGACAGGGGAGGAGUGACCUAAGGAAGAGACCUGUUGGGAAGGACAAGGCACACCCAAAGAUCUCAGAAUUACAGGUCAGCAAGGCAGGGGAGCUAGGAGAGGAGCCUGAAAGUAACUGCGAGAAGUGUGAGAAGAUCACCAACUAACCCACCAAGUGACUCAAGACACACCCUCCCUCUGCAGCUGAUGGGCCAGAACAGCCGCCCAUACCACCGUUGGGUUGUCCCCAGCCAUGGCCAAAGCUCUCCCUGCCUCAGCCCAACCCUCGAAGGUAUGAUGCUGGCUUCCCUCUGUCCCCUCCCUGGCGCCCUGGAAUUCUUCCUUCCCAUGUUCUUCCCACAGUCUGUUCUUGCAAGUGUUGCCUCUGAAUGUUACCAACGACUGCCUUCCCCAGAGCCUGCUCUUCCUGCACACCUGGUCAGGACCCUCUCUGUGUCCACAGCCUCAGCCUGGCCUUCUCUUCUAUCCAGCUGGGACACAGUCAGGUGUGAGGCCAGGAAGCUCUGCUGGUGGAGGAGGAAAGAGCUGUGUACGCCUGCUGAGAACCAAGUCCAGGUCUGCCGGGUCCAGAGAGGGAGAGGUAUAGGCUUGGCCAGAUGAGGUGGGAGGCUCCUGGGCAAGGAAGGGUGCAGUGUCAUAUCCUGAGGGGAGGAGGGAGUGGAGGUGUGCGUGGGGUUAAGAGCAGGGCUCACCCCACCAGAUCAAACUCCCCAGUUCUCCAGCAUCACACACUUGUAGAUUCCUUCUGGUGAAGAUCUGGAUGCUUUCAUUCCUUCUGUAAAAUGCACAGCCACAGCCACAGGUGUCACUGAUCCUGAGACAGAAUCCUCUGCUACCCAAGGACCUUGCUGAUCAAGGGUCCCAGAGCUGUCUGUGCAUCCACUUGGGAUGGGUGUAGAGGGAGUUCUUUCCAGCUGUGGAAGAGUCUGUUCCAGGAAGGAGAUUCAGAAGGUACUGAAGGAAGGAGACUGAGUCCCUGCAGUCCCCAUGUGGCAGCCCCUCUACAGGUGGGAGGAGCUCCUCUGGUGACACUGUCAGAGGCAGGAAUAGGUUUACUGAUGAAAUCCUGGAGGUAACAUUAAAAGGCACUGCUAGAAGUCAAUUUUUUUUUUUUUUUGGCAGAGCUGGGGAUUGAUCCCAGGGCGUAGUGUAUGUGAGGCAAACACUCUACCAACUGACUUAUACCCCCAGCCCUAGAGGUCAAUUUUAAAACAAAAUAAAACCACCUCCUCAUUACUUACCAAGAAAAAACCCUAUGGAAUUAGUUCUUCAAGAAUUGACUGAUGGGGACAGUUUCAAGAUUUCAGACCAGAGGGAGGUAGCAUUCUGCUGCUCUGUGAUACAGAUCUCACCUAAUCAGAAUACGGCAUCUCUGAGAGUGUUAGAGGACCUAUACAGCUACUCUCUGCAGAAAUCACCAUACAGGGCUCUGGGCCUCAGUGUUCAAGAAGGACCCAAAGCCCAAAGUUCCAGUUCACGCAAGACUCAGUGAGCACUUUAGCAGAAUUACCUGUCAACACAUCUGCAGAUCGCCAAGACUUCAAUCUGCUGCCACGCAGGUCACCAGCUGCUACCUACCCACAGCACAACGCCAUCGCCUGGCUCCCCCAACCUCACCAAACACCCGGGCACUGAAAGCAGACAACCACCAUCUUGGCUAAACAUUCUCACCAUAUUAGGUGGGGGCAGUUACAAGACCGGAUCUCCAGGGGCCAGUGGAUUUUCGCAGAAAUAACCAGCACUGCGACCACACACGCAGAAAUCAGAGCCUCUGGGCAGGAGUAAGUCUCUGGACUUCGGACCCAAAGCUCUCAGUUCUAGCUCAUGCAUGGCUCACAAGUGGCUUAGCAGAAACACCUAUCAGCACCUCUGUAGAACUCCAGACUGCGCGCUGCUCCCACGCAGGUCACUUGGCUGCUACCUAUCCACAGCACAAGGCCAUCAUCCAGCUUCCCCCACAUCACCAGACACCCUGGCACUGGAAGCAUACUGACUCCAUCUUGGAAAACCUUCCUUGCCAUUGUGUGGUGGGUGUGGAUCUCAGAUCGGAUUGCCAUUUGAGCAGGUACCUGAUUUCCAAUUCCUCCCCCUACCCAACAGCGUUAACUCAGACAGUGACCACCCAACACAAAAACAGCUCUCAGUUGGACAGAAGUACAGUCCGAACAGGGCGCUGCCCGCCUGUAGUGAGCCUGGGGGUGUGAAGUCCCACAGUUGGGACCUGAUAAAUAAGAGAGAGGAGGGGACUGAAGCCUGGAGCAUAAUAGAGAGAUUAGGAUUUGGGAAAUCUCCAGGUAACAGAGGAAGAGAUACCAGAGGCUUAAAUCAGUCAAGUAGUUACAAAAAAAAAAGACCCGUGAGGUGCUAUUUCCCUGCUGGGGACUGGUGGCUAGCACUCCCCACUUCCAGAUGCUCCACACCAGGUCUAGUCUUCAGACCCUGGUUACCUACACCAUCCUGAGGGCUGAGACACCCACUGGAUGAGACAACCCCACUUACUGGAUGAGAAUAGAAAGAAACGGAUCUCUAAGAGUUUUUUUUUUUUUUCCUCCUCUUCUUUCUCUUUUACCCUUCUAUACUCUGGCCCUCACAUCCCCAACAUAUGUAAAACCAAGAACGUUGCAUGAAAUAGGAUUUUGAGGACUGAGUCACCUGAAUAAUAUAAUAUAGAGGAAUUGCAUAUGCCCCUUUUCCCUCUUUUUUUCUUCUUUUUUCUUUGCUCUUUUUUCUUUCUUUCCUUUUUUCUCUUUCUUCUUCCUUCACCCUCAAAAUUAUACUAUUUUAACAUCCUGUAUUUCCCUAAAAACAUAUUUGUGUUUGUUUUGUGUACUCUACUGUCUUCCCACGUAAUUGUCUACCCCAAGUUACCUUCUAUCUAUUCUCCUGCUACUAACCCUCUUCAUUAGAUUUCUCCUUCACAUUUCCUAAGAUAUAUUAACUAUAUACCCUCAUAUCUUCUCCCCUCAACAUAUCAUCCUGUGCCUGAACCCCAGUUCAUUGUCCACCACCAGAAACUGUAAACCUUUUUAUGAAACUACUGAUUAUAUUUUAAAUAAUAAUUGAAUCCAACAUUUCUGGACAUUGAGGCUAAACUGUAAAUGUCUUAAUAACAACAAUUUGUUUAAAGGUGAUGUAUUGUUGAUAUUGGGAUCUGUUAACAUUGUCCUUCCCCACAAAGGAGAGAUCUUGGAACCCUACAAGAGCACUACAAAUCUAUAGAGUAAAAACAAUAACACACCAGAUCCACAGAACUGGAAAGGAAGACACAUGAACAACAUGAAAAGAUAAGGGAAGAAAGUGCCACAAACAAAUCAAGACAACACAUCUUUAGAAGAAUUGGCAGCUACAGCAGAAAAAACUACAGAGAAAGAUUUCAGGAUAUACAUGGUUAAAAUGUUUUGGGAUCUCAAAGAAGACAUAAGAGAACAAAUACAGGCAGUGAAAGAUCACUUUGACAAUGAGCUACAUAAACAAAUUCAAGAAGCAAAAGAUCACCUCAACAGGGCAAUAGAGUUUAUACAAAAAACCAAACAGAAAUCCUUGAAAUUAAAGAAUAAUAAACCAAAUUAAAAACUCAAAUGAAAGCAUCACAAACAGAGUAGACCACCUAGAACAUAGGACAUCAGACAAUGAAGAUCAAAUAAAUCAUCUUGAAAAGAACAUAGACCACACGGCAAAAAUGAUAAGAAACUAUGAACAGAACAUUCAAGAAAUAUGGAAUAGCAUAAAAAGACCUAAUUUAAGAGUUAUUGGGAUAGAGGCAGGCAUAGAGGUCCAAACAAAAGGAAUGAAUAAUCUGUUCAGUGAAAUAAUAUCAGAAAACUUUCCAAACAUGAAGAAUGAAUUGGAAAUCCAAAUUCAAGAAGCCUACAGGAUGCCAAAUGUACAAAAUCACAACAGACACACACCAAGGCACAUUAUAGUGAAAAUGCUCAACAUACAGAAUAAGGAGAGAAUUUUAAAAGCCACAAGAGAAAGGGAUCAGGUUACAUAUAAUCAAAUACCAAUUAGGAUAAUGACAGAUAUUCAACACAGACCCUAAAAGCUAGAAGAUCCUGGAACAACAUAUAUCAAGCUCUGAAAGAUAAUGGGUGCCAACCAAGAAUCUUAUAUCCAGCAAAAUUAAGCUUUAGAUUUGAAGAUGAAAUAAAAAUCUCCCAUGAUAAACAAAACUUAAGAGAAUUUAUAGCUAGAAAACUGUCACUACAAAACAUCCUUGGCAAAAUAUUUCACGAAGAGGAAAUGAAAAACAGCAAUAAAAAUCAGCAGAGGGAAGUAGUACACUAAAGGAAAAACUAAUCAAAGUGGAAAACCAAUUCAAAUAAAAUAACAAAAAUAAACAAAUAUGUCUGGAAAUACAAACCAUGUCUCUACACUGAAGGAAAAACUAAUCAAAGUGGAAAACCAAUUUAAGUAAAAUAACAAAAAUAAACAAAUAUGGCUAGAAAUACAAACCAUGUCUCAAUACUAACCCUAAAUGUUAAUGGCUUAAACUCACCAAUCAAAAGAAAUAGGCUAGCAGAUUGAAUUUUUUUUUAAAGACCUAACAGUAUGCUGCUUCCAGGAGACUCAUCUGAUUACCUAUCUAAAACAUACACAGACUGAAGGUGAAACGUUGGGAAAAAUCAUACCACUUACAUGGACUGCAGAAGCAAGAAGGGUUUCCAUACUCAUAUCAAAUAAAGUAGACUUCAAGCCAAGGUUAAUCAAAAGGGAUAAAGAUGGACAUUACAUACUGCUCAAGGGAACCUUACACCAACAAGACAUAACAAUCAUAAAUAUAUAUGCUCCAAACAAUAGUGCAGCUAUGUUCAUCAAACAAACUCUUCUCAAGUUCAAGAGUCAAAUCGACCACAACACAAUAAUCUUGGGUGACUUUAUUUAUUUAUUUAUUUUUUGAGAGAGAGAGAGAGAGAGAGAGAGAGAGAGAGAGAGAGAGAGAGAAUUUUUUAAUAUUUAUUUUUUAGUUUUCGGCAGACACAACAUCUUUGUAUGUGGUGCUGAGGAUUGAACCCGGACCGCACGCAUGCCAGGCGAGCGCACUACCGCUUGAGCCACAUCCCCAGCCCCUCUUGGGUGACUUUAACACACCUCUCUCACCACUGGAUAUAUCUUCCAAACAAAAGUUGAAUAAAGAAACUAUAGAACUUAAUAACACAAUCAAUAAUAAUUUAGACUUAACUGACAUAUAUAGCAUAUUUCAACCUGCAUCAAGCGGAUACACUUUCUUCUCAGCAGCACAUGGAUCCUUCUCUAAAAUAGACCAUAUACUAUGCCACAAAGCAACUCUUAGCAAAUACAAAAAAUACUUCCAUGCAUUUUAUCAGAUCAUAAUAGGAUGAAAUUGGAAAUCAAUGACAAAAUAAAAAAUAAAAAUUUCUCCAUCACCUGGAGACUAAACAAUAUGCUACUGAAUAAACAGUGGGUCACAGAAGACACUAAGGAGGAGAUUAAAAAAUUCCUAGAGGUAAAUGAGAACAUAGUCACAAUAUAUUGAAAUCUCUGGGACACUAUGAAAGCAGUACUAAGAGGAAAAUUCAUUGCAUGGAGUUCAUUCCUUAAAAGAAGAAAAAGUCAACAAAUUAAUGACCUCACACUACAUCUCAAAUCCCUAGAAUAAGAAGAAUAAACCAGCAGCAAAAGCAGUAGAAGGCAAGAAAUAAUUAAAAUUAGAGCUAAAAUCAAUGAAAUUGAAACAAAAGAAACAAUUGAAAAAAAUUGACAAAACAAAGUUAAUUCUUUGAAAAAAUAAAUAAAAUUGACAGAUCCUUAGCUAUGCUAAUGAAGAGGAGCGAGAGAAUUCAAAUUACCAGCAUACAUGAUGAAAAAGGUAAUAUCACAACAGACACUACAGAAAUACAAAGAAUAAUUAGAAAUUAUUUUGAAAUCUUAUACUGCAAUAAAAUAGAAGACAUUUAAGGCAUUGACAAAUUUCUUAAGUCAUAUGAUUUGGCCAGGUUGAGUCAGGAAGAUAUACACAAUUUAAACAGACCAAUAUCAAGUGAGGAAACAGAAGAAACCAUCAAAAGCUUACCAACCAAGAAAAGCCCAGGACUGGAUGGAUACACACCCGAGUUCUACAAGACCUUUAAAAAGAACUAAUAGCAAUACUCUUCAAUUUAUUUCAGGAAAUAGAAGAAAAGGCAGUAAUUCUAAUCUCAUUCUAUGAGGUCAAUAUUACCCUGAUCACAAAGCCAGGCAAAGACACAUCAAAGAAGGAAGCUUCAGACCAUAUCUGUAAUAAACGUAGAUGCAAAAAUUCUCAAUAAAUUUCUUGCAAAUCAAACACAAAAACAUAGAAGACAAAAACAAAACAACAACAACAAAAACAAAACAAAACAAAAAAAACUGCACGAAAAAACUUCUAGAACUAGUAAAUUAAUUCAGGAAAGUAGCAGGAUAUAAAAUCAACACCCAUAAAUCAAAGGCAUUUCUGUAUAUCAGUGACAAAGCCUCUGAGAAGGAAAUGAGGAAAACUACCCCAUUCACAAUAACCUUAAAAAAAAAAAAAGAUACUUGGGAAUCAACAAAAGAGGUGAAAGAUCUAUACAAUGAAAACUAUAGAACCCUAAAGAGAGAAAUCAAAGAAGACCUUAGAAGAUGGAAAGAUCUACCUUGCUCUUAGAUAGGCAGAAUUAAUAUUAUCAAAAUGACCAUACUACUAAAAGCACUAUACACAUUUACACAAAUUCCAAUCAAAAUCCCAAUGGCAUUCCUCAUAGAAAUAGAAAAAGAAAUCAUGAAAUUCAUCUGGAAAUAUAAGAGACCCAGAAUAGCUAAAGCAAUUCUAAGCAGGAAGUGUGAAGCAGGUGGCAUCACUAUAUCAGACCUUAAACUAUACUACAGAGCAAUAGUAAGAAAAACAGCAUGGUAUUGGAACCUGAGAAAACUCCCAUGCCCUCCCCAGCAUCUCAAAAAUACCCAAGAAAGAAGGUUCUCGGCAGGCCAGGACCAAGAGCCACGCAUGACGCUGGUUAUCCUCUUCACUAUCUUCAAUACAAAACAUUCCUCCCACACUUUUUCAUGAAAUUUUCCCCAUGAUGUUGACUUCUUUUUCUAGACAGGGUUUUGCUGUUGCUCAGGCAGGUCUUAAACUCCUAGGCUAGGGUGACCCACCCACCUCAGCCUCUUGAAUAGCUGGGAGGACAGGUGCACCAGUGUGCCCAGAUGACAUAAAAAAGUUAUUACCUAGUCAGUUCUGGGAUUCUCUGUGAGAUCUAGGUUGUCCUCUGUCCACUGUACAAGUGGCCCUCUGCCAUAGAAGAUAAAUAUUUUGGGAAAAAACCCUGCCUCUGGACUGGGUGCAGUGGUGUACGCCUGUGAUCCCAGUGGCUCAGGAGGCUGAGGCAGGAGGAUAUAAACUCAAGGCCAGGCUGGAAAAUUUAGCAAGGCCUUGUCUAAAAAAAUUAAAAGGGCUGGGGAUAUGGUUUAAUGGUUAAAUCUCUGCUACCAAAACAACAACAGAAAACAACCUGCCUCUGUACUGAAUGCAUACGGAUAUGUAUAUGUAUAUAUUUAGUUGUCUGUGGACCUUUAUUUUAUGUAUGUAUUUAUAUGCAGUGCAGAGGAUUGAACCCAGUACCUCACCUAUGCAAGGCAGCCCAGCAUACAGACCUUUUUUCCUGUCAUUAUGCCCUCACCAGUACAGUGUGCCAAGUAAUUACAUGUUUACACCAAAGCAGGUAUUGUAAGUAAUCCCAAGAUGAUUUGAAGGAAGCAGAUACCGCUCCAUUCUAUAAGAGAGGCCUGAGCAGCCACAUCUAUUGACAUCUGCAGGACUCCUGGUAUGGAGACACUGCCUUUUUUCCUCCACUGUUUAUAUAAACUUUAUAUGAAGUUUAGCUCAGUUAUUUCAAUUUGUGUUCAGGUUAGUGUUUGUUUUUCCCCUUUGAUCUUUUUAACAAAUCUACACCAAAAUACAUCCAUGAAGUUACACUUGCUUCUCCCACCAUACCCUCACCCUCACUUGUGUGCCUUCCUACACUUGUUGCCAUUUCGGUAGUUUUUGUGCUGUUCUUCCUGUGUUUGUUUAUUCUACCAGGAAAUGAACCCAGGGCGCUUAACCAGUGAGCCACAUCCCCAGGCCUCUUUUGUUUGUUUUGAGACAGGGUCUUGCUAAGUUGCUUAGUGCCUCACUAAAUUGCUGAGGCUGGCCCUGAACUGUGAUCUUCCUGCUUCAGUCUCCCAAGCUGCUGGGAUUAUAGAUGUGAGCCACCACGCCUGGACAGUGUUUAUUUUUGUAAAAGUAAAUAAAUACAUAUUCAAUUCCCCUUCCUUUUUCAGCUAGGAAGAAAUGUGUUGUGUUGAAGAACUAUUCCCUGCCUGUUGGCCUCCAGGGCAGAGCUCUGUCCCCUUCACAAGAGGACAGGGCCACCUCUGCUUAGGUCUGCUUCUGCAGGCUUUGGGAAAACAAGAUGGUGCUGCUGUGGAGGGCAGUGGCCACAAACUCCACCUGCUCCAUUUCUGCCCAGGACAAGUUCUAAGCCUCAAGCCAAGAACCCUGGUAAGCAGGUAGCCUCUUCCAGCUGGCCAGUUGCUACAGGGACAAGAGGCACUCAUACAUGUACAGAGUGGGGCACCCCUCAUCUGCUCCAACUCUCAGGUCACUCCAAGUUCUGGCUUAUGCAGAGACACUGAGGAACCCAGGUGUGUGCAAGUGAGGUUCUGGUUCACAGGGAGGCCCCACCAGGGGCCUAAGCCACUGGAAGGAUGCAGAUGCCAUUUCCUGCAUUCAGCCUGAGGGCCCAGCACUCAGCCAAAUGACUAGGAGGCUCUUUGCACCCCUGGUUGGGUCUCCCUAUGAACAAGGUUCUGUGGGCAGCCAGUCUGAAUGAUUUUGCAUUCUCCUUCCCAUAGGCAGAGAGGCUCUGACUGUCACUCUUGUAGUGAUCUGGACAUGGCCCAGGUCCCAGAGCUUUAGGAUGCAUCUUCAGAAGUAGGCCUGUUGCACCAUAAAUUGAGCUGCAUUCACCUGUUCCUUUGUGAUAUUACCCAUUUGCCUUGUUUAGGAUAGAAUGUCCCAUGGAAAUGUCCUUUGUGAGUCCCCUUCUCUUGCUCUGCCUAUGGGUGUGGUCUUCUGAGAUGUCAGUCAAUCUACUGACAGAAGACAUCAUGAAGCUAGACUCAACCCCCUGAAACCUGAUACCUUGCCUCAUUUGAAAGGCUUCUCCUCAAUAAAAGGGUUCAGUACGUGCUCACUUGCUCUCUUUCUGCAGAUCCUUAUGGUCAGUGGAACCCAAAGUAAAAGGUAUCUCUGGACUGGGAUUGUGGCUCAGCAGUAGAGUGUUCACCUGGCACAUGCAAGGCCCUGGGCUCGAUCCUCAGCACAUAAAAAUAAAUAAAUAAAAUAAAGAUAUUAUGUCCUACUACAACUAAAAAAUAAAUAUAUAUUUUUAAAAAAUGGUAUCUCUGUCUUUUGUGUGGUUAUUUCAUGCAGCCCAGUUCUGCUGGAGUGACCCUGAGUGUUUCAGUCAUGAGGAACACGACAAUUGGCACCCGAACAGGGACUCCAGGGUGAUUUUUUAGAAAUGUAGUGGGUCUGGAAUUUCUCUCCAAAAGUUAAGCAUGCUUAGAUUGCAGAGUAUUGUGGGCUGAAUUGUAGAAAGUAAGUGAAUGAGACAGAAGAAAAAUCUGUGAUGUUAAACUUUUUAAUAUUUGGGAAUAUUUUGUCUUUAGAAAGAAAAAAAAUAUUUUUAUAGUUCUAGAGACUCUAAAUAAAUGUAAAGAAUUAUUAAGAUGAUUAAUGGUCUCUCACAUGGGAAAAGUGCUUUUGUGGACUUUUUUGGAUUAUUUUGGUUAAUCUUUAUAUUUUGAAAUACUAGGUAAAGAUUUUGGGGGUUUACAUACUAGAAGUCUGCACUUGGAGAAUGAGAAAAAGGGAAAGAAAAUUUUGUGGUGAGAAUUGAUACAAGGAUUCUUUGCCUGUAGAGAAGUUAAUUUUAUUUUUUUAUUGUUUUUGUGAACACUCAGAAAGUUUAUACUGAAUCUCUUAAUUACAUUCUUGUCCUACAGAGCAGAAUGGCUGUAACUCAGCAGCUGGGGACAAAAGACUUUAGCCAUUGUUCCCCUAUGGGGUCUGUUUUUUAAGACCUACAGCCAGCAGUGCUUUUAACCCUUACACAACCUGGCCUGGGUGCCAAACACAGACUGCCUUCACUGGUGUCUGCCUCUAAAACUCACUUUUAAAGCACCCAGGUGCUGCAAGGAAAAGUACAAAAUACAAAGAACACAAGCUGCAAGCACAGGUCACAGAGACAAGGCAAGCUUCUACCCACCCAUAGGAUCCUGCCCAGGCAGGGGAAUGCAGACAAAAUCAAAAUGCAACCAGCUAGGGAAACUCAGGGAGCCUUUGCCCAGGACAAUGGGCAAUGGGCUCCAUGCUGUUUCUGUCACCAUGGUAACCGCUCUAUGCCUGUCUGGAGGAGUGGGCUUCCUGGUCUCACCUCCUGCAUUUUUGCAGGCUUCCCAUUGGUCCUUCCACUGUCACUCAGACAGGACUUCUGGUCCCACCUUCCAGCUGCUAACCUGUACUUCCUGUUUCAGACUUGCUACCUGGAGCUGCCCAGAGCCUGAAUUUUUAAGAAUGCCCACCUGUAAAUGCUACCAAAAGUUUUCUUUUUCAAGCAAAAUCUAAUUCCACAGGUUUCUAUGUUGCAGCCCUAAAUCUGAGUUAUUUUUGAGUUAAAUAAACUGGCUUUUCUCUAUGGCUGUGUUACUAAAUAAUGUUAUAUUGAUGGGAGAUAUCAAACAUACUUCUUUAUAUUUUGCUUUUAAUUUUAGAAGUUAUGGGGAUGAAUUUGCUCACCACAGCAACAAAAGCCAGCAAUAGUCCUGUGAUGAACAAAAAAUCCUUAUUCUCAUUCCUGACUAUAUAAUUACAAGAAAUAAAUAUGUAUACAUAAGGAUCUUAUUUCAGCUACAUCACGUGAUAUCACAUAUAAGAGUGCACUCCUAGUUAAAAAUAAAUUGAAAUGGAUCCAAAUAUCUCAGAACCAUGUGGUUAUAUAAAGUUACUACAAUUAUAAGUUAUGCCCUUAUUCUUAAUAUAUAUUUGCCUAGGUAUUUAAAUAACCUAUAAUUAUUAAUCAAUAAAUUAAUUAAC
Molecule: long non-coding RNA, 15826 nt
Filed under: Marmota monax (woodchuck)
Lineage: Eukaryota; Metazoa; Chordata; Mammalia; Rodentia; Sciuridae
Source: RNAcentral